This is a small nuclear RNA of Bombus impatiens (common eastern bumble bee), 107 nucleotides long. The record is from RefSeq and is a predicted model, not a curated record. NCBI's taxonomy places the organism in Eukaryota, Metazoa, Arthropoda, Insecta, Hymenoptera, Apidae.
UUGUAAUACGGAAGGAGACACGUUUAACACUCCCAAAGACAAGGAUGGAACACAUAUAUAAAUGGUAAGGCACUGUCGCCUUUCGGCGGGACUUAUCAGAUCUUUUU